GGAUUGUGGCUCAGUGGUAGAGUGCUCGCCUAGUAUACUAGAAGCACUGGGUUCGAUCCUCAGCACCA
This 68-nucleotide transfer RNA is filed under the name Marmota monax (woodchuck). RNAcentral's name for it is "tRNA.Thr". The record is from RNAcentral. Lineage: Eukaryota; Metazoa; Chordata; Mammalia; Rodentia; Sciuridae.